RNAcentral lists this ribosomal RNA (424 nucleotides) under uncultured bacterium. RNAcentral's name for it is "bacterial SSU rRNA". It matches the Rfam family "Bacterial small subunit ribosomal RNA", at positions 355 to 772 of the family's 1533-position model. The record is from RNAcentral.
UCGAGAAUUUUUCACAAUGGGCGAAAGCCUGAUGGAGCGACGCCGCGUGGGGGAUGAAUGGCUUCGGCCCGUAAACCCCUGUCAUUUGCGAACAAACCUUAUUCAUUAACACUGAAUGAGCUGAUUGUAGCGGAAGAGGAAGGGACGGCUAACUCUGUGCCAGCAGCCGCGGUAAUACAGAGGUCCCGAGCGUUGUUCGGAUUCACUGGGCGUAAAGGGUGCGUAGGUGGUGAGGUAAGUCGGAUGUGAAAUCUCCAGGCUCAACCUGGAAACUGCAUUGGAAACUACCUUGCUAGAGGGUUUGAGGGGGGACUGGAAUUCUCGGUGUAGCAGUGAAAUGCGUAGAUAUCGAGAGGAACACCAGUGGCGAAGGCGAGUCCCUGGAAAACACCUGACACUGAGGCACGAAAGCUAGGGGAGCAAA